UUUUUAGGGCUGCACCUGCAGCAUAUGGAGGUUCCCAGGCUAGGAGUCAAAUCAGAGCUGUAGCCAACAGCCUAGCCAUAGCCAGAGCAAUGCUGUAUAAGAGCUAAAUCUGCGACCUACACCACAGCUCAUUGCAAUGCCAGAUCCUUAACCCACUGAGCAAGGUCAGGGAUCAAACCUGUCUUCUCAUGGAUGCUAGUCAGAUUGAUUUUCACUGAGCCAUGACGGAAACCACCAAAGAGCUUUUAUUUAUUUAUUUAUUUAUUUAUUUAUUUAUUUUUGUCUUUUUGCUACUCUUUGGGCCACUCCUGCAGCAUAUGGAGGUUCCCAGGCUAGGGGUUGAAUCGGAGCUGUAGCCACUGGCCUACGCCAGAGCCAUAGCAACGCAGGAUCCAAGCCACGUCUGCAACCUACACCACAGCUCGUGGCAACGCUGGAUCCUUAACCCACUGAGCAAGGCCAGGGAUCAAACCCGCAACCUCAUGGUUCCUAGUUGGAUAUGUUAACCACUGUGCCACGACGGGAACUCCAGCUUUUAUUUUAAAUUACACAUUCAUAACUAGACACUGGGACAGUUGAUGUCUCAGUCAUAUUUCACCAGUUUUACAUGCAUUUGUUUGUAUAUAUGUGUAUAGUUCCUUCAGUUUCAUCAUGUGUAGAUUGAUGCAAGCACCAACGUAAUCAAGAUACAAAAUUGUUCUAUCACCGCAAGUCUCCACUCCCAUACCCCACCUGUACCCCUGGCAAACACUACUCUGUUUUCCAUCUCUAUGAUUUUAUUUCAAGAACAUUAUGUAGGAAUUCUCCAGUGGCACAGCAAGUUCGGGAUCCACUGCUGUCACUACUGUGGCUCCGGUUUGACUCCUGGAUGGUAAGUAACUUCCUCACGCUGCAGGCACGCCACCACCUCCCCCACCCCAAAUACUGUGUAAAAAGAAGUAUGUGACCUCUUUUCAGACCGGCCUUCCAUUCAACCUAAUUCCCUUGAGAUCCAUCCAAGGUUACAUAUAAAUAGUUCAUUCCUUUUUGGUUAUGUUGUUUUUUGCUUUUUAGAGCUGCACCCAUGGCACAUGGACGUUCCCAGGCUAGGGGUCCAAUUGGAGCUACAGCUGCCAGCCUACACCACAGCCACACCAGAUCCAAGCCACAUCUGCGACCUACACCACAGCCCACGGCAAUGCCAGAUUCUUAACCCACUGAAUGAGGCUAGGGAUCGAACCCACAACCUCAUGGUUCCCAGUCAGAUUAGUUUCUGCUGCACCACAAUGGGAACUUGUUUAUUCCUUUUUCUUGCUACAUUGUGUUCCAUGGAUGGACCUCCCAAAAUUAUUUUUUUCAUUUUUUGGCCACAUCUGCAGCAUAUGGAAGUUCCCAGGCCAGGGACUGAACCUAAGCCUCACCUGCAAUCUACACCACAACUGUGGCAACAGUUAACCCACUACAUCACAGUGGGAAUUCCCAAGGGCAUGCUACAUUUUAACCAUACACUUGGUGAAGGAUGUUCUGGUUUCCUUCGUUUUUUUUAUUUUUUAUUUUCUGGUCAGUUGUGUCUUUUUAGGGCUGCACCCCGGCACAUGGAGAUUCCCAGGCUAGGGGUCUAAUCAGAGCUAUAGCUGCCAGCCUACACCACAGCCACGCCAGAUCCAAGCCAUGUCUGCAACCUACACCACAGCGAGGCCAGGGAUCGAACCCACAAGCUCAUCAUUCCUAGUUGGAUUCGUUUCCACUGUGCCACAACGGGAACUGCUGGUUGUUUCCAUUUUUGAUGAUUACAAAUAAAGCUGCUCUGAACAACCAUGUACAGUUUUCAUGUGAACGUUUCAUUUCUCUGGGACAAAUGGCCAACAAUAAAAUUCCUGGGACAGAGGGUAGUAAUGUGUUUAGUUUUAGAAGAAACUGCCAAAUUGUUUUCCAAAGCGGCUGUACAAUCUACAUUCCCACCAGCAAUAUAUAGGUGAUCCAUUUCUUCCACAUCCUAACCAGCAUUUGGUGGUGGUACUAUUUUUUAUUUUAGCCAUGUGAUAGGAUGUGUGGUGAUGUCUCAUUGUGGGUUUGAUUUACACUUCCCUAAUGGGUAAUGAUGUCAAACACCUUCUCACUGCUUAUUUACCAACUGUAUCUCUUCAGUGAAAUGACCUUUUUUUUUUUUUUUUUUUUUUUUUUGCUUUUUAGGGCCUCACCUGUGGCAUAUGGAGGGUCUAAGGCUACGGGUCUAAUUGGAGCUACAGCUGCCAGCCUACACCACAGCUCACAGCAAUGAUGGAUCCUUAACCUGCUAAGGCCAGGAAUCAAAACCGAAACCUCAUGGUUCCUAGUCAGAUUCGUUUCUGCUGUGUAAAGAUGGGAACUCCUCUUUUGUUCAUUUUCUAAUUGGAUUGUCUUACUGUAGAAUUUUUCAGACUUAAUUGCAUAUUCUAGAUAGAAGGCCUUUGUCACAGAAGUGUUCUGCAGACAUUUUCCCCCAUUCAUAGCUUUUCAUCUUCCCAAGUCUUAUUUCUGCUCGGAUCUUUUUACUACCCAAUGAAUUUUACUACACUUACAGCUGUACAACGACCAUCACAAGCAAAUUUUAUAGCAUUCCCACCCUAAACCCUCAGUGCAUUCCUCCCCCACCUUCUGCUCUGAUCUUUGAUUUCUUUCCUUCUACUAACUUUAGGUUUUGUUUGUUCUUUCUCUAGAUUCUUUGGUUGUAAAGUUAGGUUCUUUGAGAUUUUUCUUGUUUCCUAAGACUGUAUUGCUAUAAACAUCCUGCUCAGAACUGCUUUUGGUGUGUCCCAGAGGAUUUGGAUCAUUGUGUUUUUGUUUUCACGUCUCUAGGUAUUUUUAAAAUUUCCCCUUUGACCUCUACAACGGUCCAUUGAUUGUUUAGUAGCAUAUUGUUUAGAUUCCACGUUUGUAUUUUUUUAAUUUACUUUUUUUUUUGCGGGGGGGGGGGGGCUGUUUCUUUUUAGGGCUGCACACGCAGCAUAUGGACGUUUCCAGGCUAGGGGGUGAACUGGAGCUGUAGCCACUGGCCUACACCACAGCUACAGCAACACCAAAUCCAAGACUUCUCUGCGACCUACACCUUGGCUCACAGCAACAGGGGAUUCUUAACCCACUGAGCCAGGCCAGGGAUCGAACCUGUAUCCUCAUGGAUACUAGUCAAGUUCAUCCUGACUGAGUCACAAUGGCAACUCUUGCAUUUACUUCUUGUAGCUGAUUUCUAAUCUCAUAGCAUUGUGUUUGGAAAAGACACUUGACACAAUUUCAAUUUUCUUAAAUUUACUGAGGCCUACUUUGUGGUCCAGCAUGGUAUCUGUCCUGGACAGUGUUCCAUGUGUACAUGAAAAGAAAGUGUAUUCUGCUGCUAUCAAAUGGAAUGCUCAAUAAUUAUCAACUAAGUCUGUCUGGUCUAAUGCAUUAUUUAAGGCCUAUGUUUCCUUACUGACCUUCCAUCUGGAUGAUCCGUCUACUGAUAUAAGUGAUGUAAAGUUCCCCAAUUGCGUGUUACUGUCGAUUUCUCCUUUUAUAUGUUAACAUUUGCCUUAAUGUUGGAGUGCUCUUAGGUUCAUAUAUAUUUAUAAUUCUUCUUCUUGGAUUGAUCCCUUGAUCAUUAUGUAGUGCCCUUCUUUGUCUCAUAACAGUCUUUUUUUCUUUUCCCCCCAUCUUUUCCAGCUGCUGGCCUAUGCCACAGCCACAGCAACGCCAGAUUGGAGCUGCAUCUGUGACCUACACCACAGCUCACGGCAACGAAGGAUCCUUAACCCACUGAGCAAGGCCAAGGGAUCAAACCUGCAAUCUCAUGGUUUCUAAUCAGAUUUGUUAACCACUGAGCCAUGAAGGGAACUCUGUGUAACAGUCUUUAUUUUAGUCUAUUUUGUCUAUUACUACUCCAGCUUUUUGAUUUCCAUAUGCAUAGAAUACCUUUUUCCAUCCCCUCACUCUCAGUCUCCAUGUAUCUCUAGAUCUCAUAUGGGUCUCUUGUAGACAGCAUAUAUACGGGUCUUCUGUGUCUUAUUUAGCUAGUUUCUGUGUUAUAGUUGGUGCAUUUAAUCCCUUUACAUUUAAAGUAAUUAUCAAUGUAUGUCCUUAAUGCCAUUUUGUUAUUUUGGAUUUUUGUAGGUCUUCUCUUGUGAUUUGAUGACUUUCUUUAGUGUUGUGUUUGGAUUCCUUUUUGUGUGUAUCUAUUAUAGAUUUUUAGUUUGUAAUUAACAGGUUUUGAUACAGCAGUCUAUAUACAUAUACGACUAAGUUGAUGAGCUCUUAAUUUCAAAUGCAUUUCAAAUAUCCUAUAUUUAUAUUCUCACCCUCUCAUGAUUACUGGUUUAGAUUGCAUAUCUGUGUGUGGAUAAUUUCCUAACUUCAUUGUAUUUUACCUUUACUGGUGAGAUUUUCCAUUUCAUAAUUUUCAUGUUUCCAGUUGGGACUUUUUGUUUUUCCACAUAGAGAAAAUUGCUGUAAAGGUGGUUUGGUUGUGCUGAAUUCUCUUAGCUUUUGCUUCUCUGUAAAGCUUUUCUUUUCUCUGUUGAAUCUGAACAAGAGCCUUGCUGGGUAGAGUAUUCUUGGUUGAGGUUUUUCCCCUUUUAUCAUUUCAAAUAUAUUGUGCCACUCCCUUCUGGCCUGUAGAAUUUCUCUUGAAAAAUCAUCUGAUAACUUUACAGGGAUUCCUUUCUAUAUUGUUUAUUGCUUUUCCCACAUUGCUUUUAAUAUUUUAUCUUUAUCUCGAAUUUUUGUCAAUUUGAUUACUCUGUCUUGGGGUGUUCCUCCUUGGGUUGAUCCUGUAUGGAACUCUAAGUGAUCCUUGGACUUGGGUGAGUGCUUCCUUUCUCAUGUUAGGGAAAGUUUCAGCUAUUAUUUCUUCAAACAUUUUCUCAGAUCCUUUCUCUUUUUGGACCCCUAUAAUACGAAUGUUGGUGCCUUUGACAUUAUCCCAGAGCUCCAGUAAACUGUUUUCAUCAUUUCAUUUUUUUAAAAAUUCUGUUCCAUGGCAGUGAUUUCCAUCACUCUGUAUUCCAGCUCACUUAUUUAUUCUGCUUCUGAUCCUUCUUAGUACAUUUUCCAUUUCAGGUAUUGUAUUCUUCAACUCUAUUUGGUUAUUGUUUGUUUUUUCU
This 5093-nucleotide long non-coding RNA is filed under the name Sus scrofa (pig). RNAcentral's name for it is "lncRNA (ENSSSCG00000058915.1)". Lineage: Eukaryota; Metazoa; Chordata; Mammalia; Artiodactyla; Suidae. The record is from RNAcentral.